Molecule: ribosomal RNA, 518 nt
Filed under: uncultured bacterium
Lineage: Bacteria
Description: bacterial SSU rRNA
Rfam family: Bacterial small subunit ribosomal RNA
Source: RNAcentral
AGAACUUAGCAGAGAUGCUUUGGUGCCUUCGGGAACUCUGAGACAGGUGCUGCAUGGCUGUCGUCAGCUCGUGUUGUGAAAUGUUGGGUUAAGUCCCGCAACGAGCGCAACCCUUAUCCUUUGUUGCCAGCGGUCCGGCCGGGAACUCAAAGGAGACUGCCAGUGAUAAACUGGAGGAAGGUGGGGAUGACGUCAAGUCAUCAUGGCCCUUACGAGUAGGGCUACACACGUGCUACAAUGGCGCAUACAAAGAGAAGCGACCUCGCGAGAGCAAGCGGACCUCAUAAAGUGCGUCGUAGUCCGGAUUGGAGUCUGCAACUCGACUCCAUGAAGUCGGAAUCGCUAGUAAUCGUAGAUCAGAAUGCUACGGUCGAAUACGUUCCCGGGCCUUGUACACACCGCCCGUCACACCAUGGGAGUGGGUUGCAAAAGAAGUAGGUAGCUUAACCUUCGGGAGGGCGCUUACCACUUUGUGAUUCAUGACUGGGGUGAAGUCGUAACAAGGUAAGCGUAGUGCU